AUGAACGCUGGCGGCGUGCCUCAUACAUGCCAGUCGAGCGAACAGACGAGGAGCUUGCUCCUCUGACGUUAGCGGCGGACGGGUGAGUAACACGUGGAUAACCUACCUAUAAGACUGGGAUAACUUCGGGAAACCGGAGCUAAUACCGGAUAAUAUAUUGAACCGCAUGGUUCAAUAGUGAAAGACGGUUUUGCUGUCACUUAUAGAUGGAUCCGCGCCGCAUUAGCUAGUUGGUAAGGUAACGGCUUACCAAGGCAACGAUGCGUAGCCGACCCGAGAGGGUGAUCGGCCACACUGGAACUGAGACACGGUCCAGACUCCUACGGGAGGCAGCAGUAGGGAAUCUUCCGCAAUGGGCGAAAGCCUGACGGAGCAACGCCGCGUGAGUGAUGAAGGUCUUCGGAUCGUAAAACUCUGUUAUUAGGGAAGAACAAAUGUGUAAGUAACUAUGCACGUCUUGACGGUACCUAAUCAGAAAGCCACGGCUAACUACGUG
Molecule: ribosomal RNA, 496 nt
Filed under: uncultured bacterium
Lineage: Bacteria
Description: partial 16S ribosomal RNA
Rfam family: Bacterial small subunit ribosomal RNA
Source: RNAcentral